RNAcentral lists this ribosomal RNA (253 nucleotides) under uncultured bacterium. RNAcentral's name for it is "partial 16S ribosomal RNA". It matches the Rfam family "Bacterial small subunit ribosomal RNA", at positions 524 to 776 of the family's 1533-position model. The record is from RNAcentral.
UACGAAGGGGGCUAGCGUUGCUCGGAAUCACUGGGCGUAAAGCGCACGUAGGCGGAUUGCUAAGUCAGGGGUGAAAUCCUGGAGCUCAACUCCAGAACUGCCUUUGAUACUGGCGAUCUUGAGUCCGGGAGAGGUGAGUGGAACUGCGAGUGUAGAGGUGAAAUUCGUAGAUAUUCGCAAGAACACCAGUGGCGAAGGCGGCUCACUGGCCCGGUAUUGACGCUGAGGCGCGAAAGCCAGGGGAGCAAACGGG